RNAcentral lists this ribosomal RNA (1053 nucleotides) under Triticum aestivum (bread wheat). RNAcentral's name for it is "partial small subunit ribosomal RNA". Lineage: Eukaryota; Viridiplantae; Streptophyta; Magnoliopsida; Poales; Poaceae. The record is from RNAcentral.
AUGGAUCCAUCCACCAUGGCCGCCACCGCCAGGGAAGCAAGCACCGCAGGUUCGUCGUCGCCGCGCACCAGCUUCGUGGCGGACUCCCUGAUCCUCCCCACGCGCAACGGCAGGCUCUUCGCGUCCGCCUUCGCGCUGGUCUACGUCCACACCUUCGUCUCCCUCUCCGUCACCGUCCUCUACGCCCACCCCCUCGCCACCGCCGUCCUCCUCCGUGUGUACUCGCUGGUCAGGGACAACGACGGUGGCCCCGGCAGGAGGCAGCACGUCGUCUACGCGUCGGAAAGCGACGACGAGAUCCGGGGACACGCCAAGAAGCUCCUCCCCCUCUACCUCGCGUACCUCGCCAGCCAGCUCGCCACGCGGGCCGCCGUCGCGCUCGCCGCCUCCGCGACGUGCCGCGGUGACCGGCGCCCGCGCUCGCUGGCCGAGCUCGUCCGCGGGAAGGCGGCCGCGGGGAGGGUCCGCGGCACCUUGGCCACCGCCGCCCUCGUCACCGUCCUCGAGCACGCGUCGUUCGCGGCUCUCCUCGCGGCGUGCCUCGCCCUCGCGUCGUGGCGAUGGUGGACGAGCGGUGCCGCUGCCCGAUCAGACGCCGCAGCGUCUUUUGUGACGGGCUACGUGCUGUUCCUCCUCCUCCUCCUUCUCCUCUCGCACCUCUUCCUUGCCGCGGUGUUCCAAGUGGCGAUCGCCGCGUCGGCGGCAGAUGAAGGUUACGGCGAAGGCGGAACGCGCGCUGCUCUCCGGCGAGCGUGGCGGCUCAUGGCCGAGAGGGCGAGGAGGAAGGAGGCCGCCGUGAUGGUGCUCGUGGCGAGCCUCCUGCCGGUUGCCAUCUCCCCGGUGUAUGCGUUUGCCAUGUACUGUUCUCUGAGGGCACCCGAUGCCGGUAUCGUGGCUGUCCUCCAUGGAUAUCUUCUCCCGUCAGUCGGCGUGCAGCUCUUGUCCACGGUGGCGGCCGCGGUGUUCUACCACCGGUGCAUGGAGCAUCAUCAUGAUCCGGCUGUCCUUCAACCGACGACGAAACUAGCUAUAGCUAAAUUCCUCCGUGAUUGA